This is a small nuclear RNA of Ochotona princeps (American pika), 107 nucleotides long. NCBI's taxonomy places the organism in Eukaryota, Metazoa, Chordata, Mammalia, Lagomorpha, Ochotonidae. The record is from Ensembl.
GUGCUUGCUUUGGCAGCACCUCCACUACAAUUGGAAUGAUUUGGAGAAAAUUAACAUGACCCUUGGGUAAGGAUGACACACAAAUUUGUGAAGUGUUACAUAUUAAA